This 404-nucleotide ribosomal RNA is filed under the name uncultured bacterium. RNAcentral's name for it is "bacterial SSU rRNA". It matches the Rfam family "Bacterial small subunit ribosomal RNA", at positions 355 to 776 of the family's 1533-position model. RNAcentral also lists the same sequence under 1 other name. The record is from RNAcentral.
UGGGGAAUCUUGGACAAUGGGCGCAAGCCUGAUCCAGCCAUGCCGCGUGAGUGAUGAAGGCCCUAGGGUUGUAAAACUCUUUCGUGGGGGACGAUAAUGACGGUACCCCAAGAAGAAGCUCCGGCUAACUUCGUGCCAGCAGCCGCGGUAAUACGAAGGGGGCUAGCGUUGUUCGGAUUUACUGGGCGUAAAGCGCGUGUAGGCGGACUGGAAAGUUGGGGGUGAAAUCCCGAGGCUCAACCUCGGAACUGCCUCCAAAACUUCCAGUCUGGACUCAAGCAGAGGCAAGUGGAAUUGCGAGUGUAGAGGUGAAAUUCGUAGAUAUUCGCAGGAACACCAGUGGCGAAGGCGACUUGCUGGGCUUGUAGUGACGCUGAGACGCGAAAGCGUGGGGAGCAAACAGG